RNAcentral lists this ribosomal RNA (911 nucleotides) under uncultured archaeon 19b-5. Its description in RNAcentral is "bacterial SSU rRNA". It matches the Rfam family "Archaeal small subunit ribosomal RNA", at positions 4 to 921 of the family's 1478-position model. The record is from RNAcentral.
CUGGUUGAUCCUGCCGGACCUGACUGCUAUCGGAUUGAUACUAAGCCAUGCGAGUCAUUGUAGCAAUACAAGGCAGACGGCUCAGUAACGCGUAGUCAACCUACCCUAUGGACGGGGAUAACCUCGGGAAACUGAGAAUAAUACCCGAUAGAACAUUAUACCUGGAAUGGUUUAUGUUUCAAAUAAUUUAUUGCCGUAGGAUGGGACUGCGGCCUAUCAGUUUGUUGGUGAGGUAAUGGCCCACCAAGACUAUUACAGGUACGGGCUCUGAGAGGAGUAGCCCGGAGAUGGGUACUGAGACACGGACCCAGGCCCUAUGGGGCGCAGCAGGCGAGAAAACUUUGCAAUGUGCGAAAGCACGACAAGGUUAAUCCGAGUGGUUUCUGCUAAAGGAACCUUUUGUUAGUCAUAGAACCACUAAUGAAUAAGGGGUGGGCAAGUUCUGGUGUCAGCCGCCGCGGUAAAACCAGCACCUCAAGUGGUCAGGAUGAUUAUUGGGCCUAAAGCAUCCGUAGCCUGCUUUGUUAGUUUUCGGUUAAAUCCAUACGCUCAACGUAUGGGCUGCCGGGAAUACUGCAAAGCUAGGGAGUGGGAGAGGUAGACGGUACUCGGUAGGAAGGGGUAAAAUCCUUUGAUCUAUUGAUGACCACCUGUGGCGAGGGCGGUCUACCAGAACACGUCCGACGGUGAGGGAUGAAAGCUGGGGGAGCAAACCGGAUUAGAUACCCGGGUAGUCCCAGCUGUAAACUAUGCAAACUCGGUGAUGCAUUGGCUUGAUGCCAAUGCAGUGCCGCAGGGAAGCCGUUAAGUUUGCCGCCUGGGAAGUACGUACGCAAGUAUGAAACUUAAAGGAAUUGGCGGGGGAGCACCACAAGGGGUGAAGCCUGCGGCUUAAUUGGAGUCAACGCCGG